Molecule: long non-coding RNA, 3433 nt
Organism: Numida meleagris (helmeted guineafowl)
Lineage: Eukaryota; Metazoa; Chordata; Aves; Galliformes; Numididae
Exons: 3
Source: RefSeq, a predicted model, not a curated record
CCACCAGGUAAAUCCCCUCCAACAAACAUUCCUUCCUAUCUGAACAGGCUGAUUUGGCAACCAAAGACUCCUGCCUUAGAGCAAGAGCUGGAAAGGAAUGUGACCUGUGGCUCCUGACAGGAGUAGGCACCAGCACAUGGAGUACCAAGACCAAAAGCAGUUUCCCAUUGAACAGUCCUGACUCCAUGUAUGAGAUCAUGGCUUGGCAUGUGGGACAUCAGAGGCUGAAAUUUGGUGCCUGAUGUGCUGUUUACAUACAUAAGGGACUACCUCUCCAGACAGCCGGAUCUGCAGAAAGGAAGAAUUCUGUCUGGUGGUUUUGGCAAAUACCAUCCCAAGCAUAAGGGUUCAGCCUGCUAACUCCAGCAAGGACAAAACAGACGGGAAGUCAAUAGCUCAAAAUGAAAGGCAAGUGAAACAAUUCUGCUUUGAGCCCUACUUCAACAUGCUCCUAGACAUUGCUUAUACAUGGAGCAAAAAAACCACACUAGCGUCUUCAGAGAAAGCAAGAGUGAGCAUUAAAACUGUGUUCCUGAGAGUUGGCCAGCCCCAGGAUCUGGAUCAUAGGAUCACAGCAUGGUUUGGGCUGAAAGGGACCUUAAGGACCAUCCAGUUCUAACCCCCACACCGUGAGCAGAGACACCUUCCACUAGACAAGGUUGCUCAAAGCCCUGUCUAACCUGGCCUCUAACACUUCCAGGGAUGGGGCAUCCACAGCUUCUCUAGGCAAUCUUUCUCAGUGCCCCAGCACCCUCAUAGUGAAUUAGUUCUUCGUUAUGUCUAAUCUAAGACCUCUCAUUUUAUCAAUCCCUUCUAUUCAGAUUUUGCUCUAUGAACUGCAAGUCCUAGCUAUUGCCACUCAGUUAACAAACCAAACAACUCAAAUCGCACUAAUUGAGACUGCUGAGGAGGAACAACAGAUCCCCUCUGUAAGGAUAAGACAUGCUGCACUGUAGCCAUGCUGGUAUUCUCAAACGGAGAUGCCUUACGCCCUGCCCAGAUACAGAUUCACAGUGGUAAAGAGACCACAGUCUGGUGUAGCAUGUGCUCUGCGUGGUCACUCAUUCAUCACCUCCACUCACACGCACAUGUCAUCAACUCAAAAGGCAGGUGUGUACACAUCCAUCUUGCAAGAGGUGUUGGUCAGUUGUGGUGGUUUUGUUUCCAUGGAGAGAUGGAACAUACCAUUACCAAUGCAAAUACACAGUUAAUGUAGUCACUGGACCUGCUGCAGCUUCUCAAGUGUGCAGAGAUAAGCUUCAUUAUCAGACCUAAGUCAGUGUAAGAUUUGACCGUUUUCCUAAAAGAAUCUUCACUCACCCAAUUCCACAUCUUAUUUUUGAGUAGGUGGCAACACAUUUUUCCCCAUCCCAACAAAUGACAGUUCUCAAGAGCUGAAAAAGCCAAAGCAAAUUAAGUUUUAGAUUUUCCAUAAUCUUGGAAAACAGAUCACUGCUUUGAUCGGCAACUAAAAUAAGUAUGGAAAUGUACUACGGGGAAAAGAAGAACAAAAAAGGAAUUGGAUGGUUAAAUCAUAAAAAUAUGAGGAGAACACCCAAGAGUGGAAGUACACACAAAUACUCAGAGCCAGCCAUAUUUCAAAUCGAUGACUUCUCUUUACACAUACCAGAAUUGGAUGCUAUUUCUGCAUUACUCUUCGUCCAAAGAAGGACAUGUGUUUUCCAGCAGUUUGAGCUCACUGGGGCUAAUUACCUCAACAUGGAGCUGCAAAUGGAAAAUGCUGCUGCUGGUCCUGUGCCGAUACCCUGGUGCAGCUCUGGGCAGGAGAACACACUCGCUGACCUGCUGGGGAACCUACACGCCUUGAAUCCCAUUAUGGAGAAACAGAGCUCACUCCAGAGCCAUGACUGACACCGAGUUUCCAUCGUAAACCAAGGCUGGCCUUUUCCUGACCCUGUCUUCUAAAAACCACUGAUUUAUAAAACAUCCCACCAACAAGGAAAUUGGUAGGUCUGAUUUGGUAAUGGAGAAGAAAAAGCACUUUCCCAUGCAGAUCCCAAGUUAACUUGAAAGUUGGCUUUCAAAAAAAAAACAAAAAAAAACAACCCAGAGCAAGUACAAUCAAAUAGCUAAUUGUGGAUUUGGACCCAACUUUGAGAGAUACGUCAUGAGAAAGCAAUAAGCAAUCACUGAUAUCCCAUACUAGCAUUUCUAAGCCCUUUUCUUUUUUUUUUUGUAAACUAAGACAAAAAACAUACCGCAUUGGCAAGGCUUGCCUGCCAACAACUGCUCAGUACCAGGAUCUCACUAACACGAAGUUUUGAGUUAACUGUAUGGCAGGCACCCAUGCCAGAAAGGUAACUUUUAGGUACUCUCAAGAACUGCUGCAGUAACAGUUGGUGCCACCACCGUGACACGGCCACUUGGGAGACAUGAGGCACAGAAUCUUCUUUGCUGACCUGUGCCUAGCACACACACAGGAGUUCCCAGAGGAAUUAUACUCCUUUGCUAGCUCACAUCAGAACCCAGGCAGCGCAGUUACAUCUUUGCUACUCCAGCAUCUCACCUAAAUCAUCCAUGCACAUCAUCUGUUCACAAAAUUCUAAGUAUUCAGCACUUUAAGUGUCAUUCAUCAACUCUCCAGCUCCUGGCCUCUAUUUAACUCAGGUUGGCUGUUGGACUUCUAAUGCACAGGGUAUCCUGGGGCUAACGAGUAGCACCGAGCCUAACGAGCCCCAAUUAAGUGUGGUUUAUUCCCACUAAAACCCCUAUGUGGGUGUAGUAUAACAGCUGAGGAGGGAGAGGUGGGACUUGCUCUCUACCAUCCAUUUACCCACAGUCACUCCAGUUGAUGCCUUUCUGUGCUCCUUUAACUAGUUCCCUACAGAUGGCACCGUACCACCAUCCAAAAUACCCCUUUAGGAAAAAAAAAAAAAAACAAAAAAAGAGUUUCAGCUGAGCCACCAAGAAGAGCCAGGUGAUCAGCAAGGUUCCUGCUCUCUAAUCCAGAUGACUUCUUGAGCAAGGGCAGUGGAACCAAAUAGAGAACGAUCACAAGGUUCUGAACAUCCAACCUUUUCUACCAUAGACCAAGAUGGAGUCUAGUGGAAAGAUGGGUCCAAAUACAUAUACAUCCUUGCUCCACGUUUCCAUGAAGCUAGCUGUGUUGAAGACGGGACACUGAGGCUGGACAGGUCUUGGGUAUGACCUUGUCUGCCAAUUCCUACGGGAGACAACUAAGAAACCUCACAAGAAGCCUGUGCGUGUCCAAAGAUUUACACAUGGGGCUGCAGUGUCAGUAAUUGGAUGGAUGCAAUAAAAUCUGCAGAUUCCUUUUCCCCAGUCAUGUGUGGUAUUUCUAUUACUUUCUCUGUGACUGUUUUACAUCCAAUAAAAACACACAGAAUAGAAAAUACAGUAGUAUAAGUUACCCUUUGCUCUUGGUAAGAAGAAUAAUUCAUUGGUUUGGCAC